GCUAAAUGGUGACAAGUUCAUCCUUGUUGUGAAAUGUUUGUGUUAUGGCGCAUACAUGAAAGCAUGAUUUAAAUUGAUGUUUUAUUAUUCUGCUCACUGGGCUCUAGUAGCUCACCCCACUCCCUUUAUCCCCAGAGUUGCAGGUACAGGAUAGAUCGGGAAGUCGGCUAGAGUGAAGUUAAGUCAUGUAUGUUGUAAUAGAUAGUAGUGGACAUGAACAUGAUGUAACGAGUAUUUAUG
This 240-nucleotide long non-coding RNA is filed under the name Manihot esculenta (cassava). Its description in RNAcentral is "long non-coding RNA (MESC_LNC004795)". The record is from RNAcentral. Lineage: Eukaryota; Viridiplantae; Streptophyta; Magnoliopsida; Malpighiales; Euphorbiaceae.